RNAcentral lists this ribosomal RNA (434 nucleotides) under uncultured bacterium. RNAcentral's name for it is "partial 16S ribosomal RNA". It matches the Rfam family "Bacterial small subunit ribosomal RNA", at positions 29 to 507 of the family's 1533-position model. The record is from RNAcentral.
AGCGAACGCUGGCGGCAGGCCUAACACAUGCAAGUCGAACGAACCUUUCGGGGUUAUUGGCGGACGGGUGAGUAACACGUGGGAACGUGCCUUUAGGUUCGGAAUAACUCAGGGAAACUUGUGCUAAUACCGAAUGUGCCCUUCGGGGGAAAGAUUAAUCGCCUUUAGAGCGGCCCGCGUCUGAUUAGCUAGUUGGUUGAGGUAAUGGCUCACCAAGGCGACGAUCAGUAGCUGGUCUGAGAGGAUGAUCAGCCACAUUGGGACUGAGACACGGCCCAAACUCCUACGGGAGGCAGCAGUGGGGAAUAUUGCGCAAUGGGCGAAAGCCUGACGCAGCCAUGCCGCGUGAAUGAUGAAGGUCUUAGGAUUGUAAAAUUCUUUCACCGGGGACGAUAAUGACGGUACCCGGAGAAGAAGCCCCGGCUAACUUCGUG